RNAcentral lists this ribosomal RNA (499 nucleotides) under uncultured bacterium. RNAcentral's name for it is "bacterial SSU rRNA". It matches the Rfam family "Bacterial small subunit ribosomal RNA", at positions 8 to 496 of the family's 1533-position model. The record is from RNAcentral.
AGAGUUUGAUCAUGGCUCAGAUUGAACGCUGGCGGCAGGCCUAACACAUGCAAGUCGAACGGUAACAGGAAGCAGCUUGCUGCUUUGCUGACGAGUGGCGGACGGGUGAGUAAUGUCUGGGAAACUGCCUGAUGGAGGGGGAUAACUACUGGAAACGGUAGCUAAUACCGCAUAACGUCGCAAGACCAAAGAGGGGGACCUUCGGGCCUCUUGCCAUCGGAUGUGCCCAGAUGGGAUUAGCUAGUAGGUGGGGUAAAGGCUCACCUAGGCGACGAUCCCUAGCUGGUCUGAGAGGAUGACCAGCCACACUGGAACUGAGACACGGUCCAGACUCCUACGGGAGGCAGCAGUGGGGAAUAUUGCACAAUGGGCGCAAGCCUGAUGCAGCCAUGCCGCGUGUAUGAAGAAGGCCUUCGGGUUGUAAAGUACUUUCAGCGGGGAGGAAGGGAGUAAAGUUAAUACCUUUGCUCAUUGACGUUACCCGCAGAAGAAGCACCGG